GGGCGUGUAGCUCAAUUGGUAGAGCGUGCGUUUCGCAUGUUUACCACCUUGCGAAAGGUCUCGGGCUCGAUUCCCAACUCGUCCA
Molecule: non-coding RNA, 85 nt
Organism: Immersiella caudata
Lineage: Eukaryota; Fungi; Ascomycota; Sordariomycetes; Sordariales; Lasiosphaeriaceae
Source: the annotation of a GenBank genome assembly